This 101-nucleotide non-coding RNA is filed under the name Paenibacillus sp. RNAcentral's name for it is "Guanine sequence". It matches the Rfam family "Purine riboswitch aptamer". From Rfam's summary of the family: Riboswitches are metabolite binding domains within certain messenger RNAs that serve as precision sensors for their corresponding targets. Allosteric rearrangement of mRNA structure is mediated by ligand binding, and this results in modulation of gene expression. The record is from RNAcentral. RNAcentral also lists the same sequence under 1 other name. Lineage: Bacteria; Bacillati; Bacillota; Bacilli; Caryophanales; Paenibacillaceae.
UAAAGCAAGGAAUAACCGUUUCGUAUAAUUCCGGGAAUUGGCCUGGAAGUCUCUACGAGAUCACCGUAAAUGAUCUGGCUACGAACAAGAAAGCACGCUUC